RNAcentral lists this ribosomal RNA (253 nucleotides) under uncultured bacterium. RNAcentral describes it as "partial 16S ribosomal RNA". It matches the Rfam family "Bacterial small subunit ribosomal RNA", at positions 524 to 776 of the family's 1533-position model. The record is from RNAcentral.
UACAGAGGGUGCAAGCGUUAAUCGGAAUUACUGGGCGUAAAGCGUGCGUAGACGGUUAUGUAAGUCAGAUGUGAAAGCCCCGGGCUCAACCUGGGAAUUGCAUUUGAGACUGUGUAGCUAGGGUGCGGAAGAGGGAAGCGGAAUUUCCGGUGUAGCGGUGAAAUGCGUAGAUAUCGGAAGGAACAUCAGUGGCGAAAGCGGCUUCCUGGACCAGUACCGACGUUCAGGCACGAAAGCGUGGGGAGCAAACAGG